AGAGUUUGAUCAUGGCUCAGGAUGAACGCUAGCGGCAGGUUCCCCCACAUGCAAGUCGAGGGGUAACAGGUUUUAGUUUACUAGANNGNUGACGACCGGCGCACGAGUGAGUAACGCGUAUACAAUUUACCUUAUACAGGGGAAUAGCCUUUGGAAAUGAAGAUUAAUGCUCCAUGGUAUUAUGGUGUGGCAUCACACUAUGAUUAAAGAUUUAUCGGUAUAAGAUGAGUAUGCGUCCUAUUAGUUAUUUUGGUGAGGUAACGGCUCACCAAGACASCCUUAKGUAGGGGUCCUGAGAGGGACCCCCCCCACACUGGUACUGAGACACGGACCAGACUCCUACGGGAGGCAGCAGUGAGGAAUAUUGGGCAAUGGAGGCAACUCUGACCCAGCCAUGCCGCGUGCAGGAAGACUGCCCUAUGGGUUGUAAACUGCUUUUUAUAGAGGAAGAAACCCUCCCACGUGUGGGAGGCUGACGGUACUCUACGAAUAAGGACCGGCUAACUCCGUGCCAGCAGCCGCGGGUAAUACGGAGGGUCCAAGCGUUUAUCCGGRAAUCAAUUGGG
Molecule: ribosomal RNA, 566 nt
Filed under: uncultured Bacteroidota bacterium
Lineage: Bacteria; Pseudomonadati; Bacteroidota
Description: bacterial SSU rRNA
Rfam family: Bacterial small subunit ribosomal RNA
Source: RNAcentral